This 492-nucleotide ribosomal RNA is filed under the name uncultured bacterium. RNAcentral describes it as "partial 16S ribosomal RNA". It matches the Rfam family "Bacterial small subunit ribosomal RNA", at positions 29 to 507 of the family's 1533-position model. The record is from RNAcentral.
AUUGAACGCUGGCGGCAUGCUUUACACAUGCAAGUCGAACGGUAACAGGCCUUCGGGUGCUGACGAGUGGCGAACGGGUGCGUAAUGCAUCGGAACGUGCCCAGAGGUGGGGGAUAACGCAGCGAAAGCUGUGCUAAUACCGCAUGUGAUCUGAGGAUGAAAGCGGGGGACCAAGCAGCAAUGUUUGGCCUCGCGCCUCUGGAGCGGCCGAUGUCAGAUUAGGUAGUUGGUGGGGUAAAGGCCUACCAAGCCGACGAUCUGUAGCUGGUCUGAGAGGACGACCAGCCACACUGGGACUGAGACACGGCCCAGACUCCUACGGGAGGCAGCAGUGGGGAAUGUUGGACAAUGGGCGCAAGCCUGAUCCAGCAAUGCCGCGUGCGGGAAGAAGGCCUUCGGGUUGUAAACCGCUUUUGUACGGAACGAGAAGGCUCUGGCUAAUACCUGGGGCUGAUGACGGUACCGUAAGAAUAAGCACCGGCUAACUACGUG